GAUGAACGCUGGCGGCGUGCCUAAUACAUGCAAGUCGAGCGAACAGACGAGGAGCUUGCUCCCCUGACGUUAGCGGCGGACGGGUGAGUAACACGUGGAUAACCUACCUAUAAGACUGGGAUAACUUCGGGAAACCGGUGCUAAUAACGGCUUAUAUAUUGAACCGCAUGGUUCAAUAGUGACAGACGGUUUUGCUUUCACUUAUAGAUGGAUCCGCGCCGCAUUAGCUAGUUGGUAAGGUAACGGCUUACCUAGGCGACGAUGCGUAGCCGACCUGAGAGGGUGAUCGGCCACACUGGAACUGAGACACGGUCCAGACUCCUACGGGAGGCAGCAGUAGGGAAUCUUCCGCAAUGGGCGAAAGCCUGACGGAGCAACGCCGCGUGAGUGAUGAAGGUCUUCGGAUCGUAAAACUCUGUUAGUAGGGAAGAACAAAUGUGUAAGUAACUAUGCACGUCUUGACGGUACCUAAUCAGAAAGCCACGGCUAACUACGUG
RNAcentral lists this ribosomal RNA (497 nucleotides) under uncultured bacterium. RNAcentral describes it as "partial 16S ribosomal RNA". It matches the Rfam family "Bacterial small subunit ribosomal RNA", at positions 28 to 507 of the family's 1533-position model. The record is from RNAcentral.